AGGGAUGCUGCUCAGUGGCUGAGCCUUUGCCUGGCAUGCAGAAGGGCCUGGGUUCAAUCCCAGCAUCUCUC
Molecule: transfer RNA, 71 nt
Filed under: Dipodomys ordii (Ord's kangaroo rat)
Lineage: Eukaryota; Metazoa; Chordata; Mammalia; Rodentia; Heteromyidae
Rfam family: tRNA
About the family: Transfer RNA (tRNA) molecules are approximately 80 nucleotides in length. Their secondary structure includes four short double-helical elements and three loops (D, anti-codon, and T loops).
Source: Rfam by way of RNAcentral